CCUCGGAUGUCGAGACGUUCCAGGCCGGUGGAAAAUUCAGGGAACGCGGGAUAUCGCGAUUCUUCGUACCAGUUUCGCACGUAUCUCGAGAUUCCGCGAAAGAUCGUAGAAUAAAUUUUCACGCCGCUGUGUCCAGGUUGAUCUAUCGUCUAAAGCGCGCGUAUUUUUCCUCCUCCUCCUCCUCCUCCUCGUCCUCUUUCCAAUGCGCCUCCUCAUUGACAAUGCCAAGCGUUUACGCGCCGGUCCAACUGGUCGUCUCGAGCGAGAGCCGCCGCGUUAAAUUCAACUUUACGAUCGUCUAUGCGUCACUUCUCGAGCUUUCCUCGCCACGUGUAAACAAACGUGGCGAGUUGGGACGGGUUUGAACGACGGCGUAAUACUUUCAUGAGCAGUUCUAAAACGAGAGAGAGAAGGGCAAAGAGAGAGAGAGAGAGAGAGAGAGGCGAGGUUUGCAACUCGCGGCGAUGACAUCAGGGGUCACGCGGCUACUUGACCCUUCCUGUUUUCCAUAAUAUGGUCAAUUAGUGGAAGACGGAGCUAGUGUCGACGAGGAGGAGGAGCCGGCAACUUCAGCUUUCGUACCGUUUUCUAUGGGAAUGAAUUUAUCGCGGAAUGCGUGCGGUUCUUAAUUUGUGCUUAAUUCGCGGUCGCGUACGACGUUGUUGAUCGUUAUAGGAAAGGAUAUUCGGGCGGAUCGUUUCAAUUUAUACGGGUAUUUUAUAGGUUACGUUGUUCGAAUUAUCAUUUAAUAAUAAUAAUUGUGAAAAGAUGUUUGUAAAAGAAAAUAUGUGCAGCGAGAAGAGAAUAUAAAUGGAAGUAAUCCUUGAGAAUCUUUAUGUUUCGGAUUAUUUUAGAUUAUUAUAUUAUGCGAAGAAACAUUAUGUGAAAAACAUUUUCUAUAAUAUAAAUAAUUAGUUGAAUUAGAAAAAAGAACUCGAUUGAACAAAAAUCUUCGUAUAUUAUCUUCAAGAAAAUUCGUUUAAUCUAAGAUUUGUUUCCAAUAAUAAUUUUUCUUCAAAAUUGAAAACUUGAAAACAAAAGUAAAAGAUCUUCCAAUGAAAUUGCUCCAUAAUUCAAGAUCAAAAAACGAAACGACUUUAGUCGAAUUUAUUCCAUCGAUCCGCAGCGAUAGAAAAAAAUCAAUCACACGAUUCGAGGAGAGAUUCAUCAGAAUGAAUUAACGAGUGAAUUAACAUUUCGCCGUUAACGAGCCACUCACGUUACACGUUCCCUCGAUUAUACGAUCCCUCGAUCCGCCUCUAUCGAAACGAGCGACACGUGACAACGUUUACAACGUUUAAAAACCCGCGAAAUGAAUUAUCCCCCGUGGCGGAGGAUACGGUACGCUAAUGAGACUCUCGUUAAGAUAGCUUUGGAAUCCGCGCAUAAACACUGACAUUUGCGAAUAGCCACAUAGGAAACAGACAUCGAUGCGACGUGGCAUUAACGAGCCAUUAAUACGUCAUCGUUAACGAUCCGAGGCGCAACCCUCUUCGCGAUUCGAGCGGAGACGAGAACAGAUUUUGAUUUUAUCCUCUAUUCAAAGAGCGGUGAUUUAUCGCCGAUUGCAUGUUUCGUCAACUUGUCAAAUUGAUAAUCCACUAUGGAAUAGCACAGAAGAGGAAUUAUUACGACGAAAGAAAUUAAACUUUACCUCGAGUCGAAUUACUGACAUUCGAAUAAAAAUAUUUCCAAUUUUUUAAAUUCCACGAAUGAUAAAUCCUCGAAGAAUAUAUUUCCCAAGAAAAUUUCCCUUUGCAUUAUGCGCAAACGUGGGACAAACACUUCUCGCCAGAUUCAGAUUCGUUGUGAGACGUGAACGAAGACGAGGAGAGAAUUCGACCGAUAAUUAGACACGAAAGAGGCCUCUCGGUUUGAGACUUUGGCUACCACGCGGAGACACCUCGAGACACGUAGGUUAUACGGGGCGGUAAUGCGUAUGGACAAUUUGACAUUUGCAAAUAGGGGAUAGGUUGUAUUCACCGGUCGCAUGGGCGAGAGCAGCCAGCGUACGUGCAAAUUACUCGUGGCCGCGUGGGCGGAACAACGGGUUGAUGCAACGUGAAACGCGAAAGUGAGGUGAUCGCUGCGGAUGGAAUCGGAAUGAAAACGGCCCUCUUCGAUCUUCUACGUGCUACGGGUUACUUCAAUUACAUGUUUUCAUCGUCAGAAGAAAUUUCACGAGAUGAGGGAGCGUGGAUUGAUUUUUCAAUGGUUCAGAGGCAGAGCAGAUAUAUCCAGUAUCGGCGAAAUAUUUCGCCGUUACCGAACGUGGGCAAGAUUGGUAGCGAGAGCCUGUCCCGUGGGGGCUUAUCGAAAGUUAUUUAUGUCGCGCACAGUAGCUAACUCCGCGUGUGCACGCGGCAGACUGCACGCGUGCACGUGCUACCGAAAAUUCCGUCAACACCCACGCGCGGCCCAGAAGCACCUGGCCGACGCGAUAAAAACACACCGAGGAAAGAGAGCGAGCGGCCGGAUCUUGAUAAACCCGCAGACAUCGCGGCCACUCUGAUAAAUCUGCUGGAGAACAAGCUCGCGAAAAACUGUUGUCUCGCGUGUCUCAUCUCCGAUUCUAGUCUUUACUCGAUUUAAUUUUUCGAUCUCUCGUUGUACUUUGUAAAAAAAAAAAAGAUAUUUAAAAAGAUGAAAGAAAGACAGGAAGAUGUGUUCGUUGUUGUCGCAUUUCUUUCAUUUUUACUUGGAAAAAGAAAUCUUGUUGAGUUUAUUUGAAGAAAAAAAAGUAAUAGACAAGUAUAGAAUUAUUUGAUUUGAUAUUUGUACUUCUAUUUCGAAAUGUGAUUUUACACAGAGUUGAGAAUUUAAUUGCUUUGACUUUUCUGAGAAGAUGAAUGCAUUAAUAGAUCUACAUAAAAUAUUCAAUAUAAAUGGAAAAUUAUAACGAAAUAUUGUAAUAUAACUUUUGACUAACCAUAUUUUUCUUAGAUAAAACUAUUUACUUUCGUCUAUUUAAUAAUUUAAAUUUGAAAUGUAAAAUGGAAAAGCGAAAUAAAUAAGAAAGUAAUAAUCAA
This is a long non-coding RNA of Apis mellifera (honey bee), 3029 nucleotides long. RefSeq lists it as uncharacterized. The transcript is spliced from 2 exons. The record is from RefSeq and is a predicted model, not a curated record. NCBI's taxonomy places the organism in Eukaryota, Metazoa, Arthropoda, Insecta, Hymenoptera, Apidae.